This 97-nucleotide microRNA precursor is filed under the name Olea europaea subsp. europaea. Lineage: Eukaryota; Viridiplantae; Streptophyta; Magnoliopsida; Lamiales; Oleaceae. The record is from RNAcentral.
UGAUGAUGAUGAUGAUGAUGAUGAUGAUGAUGAUGAUGAUGAUGAUAAACUUGGUUGACUUGCAUUUUCUUCAUUUUCCACAUUAUCAUCGAAUGAA